Amphiprion ocellaris (clown anemonefish) is the source of this 547-nucleotide long non-coding RNA. Lineage: Eukaryota; Metazoa; Chordata; Actinopteri; Pomacentridae. The record is from Ensembl.
CCGGUCCCUCCACGUCAGGCCUGAGCUCCUCUGUGACCAGUGGAAACUGGUUCAGGCCUUUUUGGAGUCCAGAUGAUAGUGACUCCGAUUAGUCCUGAAACUGGUGGAAGCUCUGAGCAGAGAAGUUCCAGCUGACAGGCAGCUCCCACUUCUUACUGCAGGGAUUGGAAAAAAAAAAAAAAACAAGAAAAAAAAAGAAAAAAAAGAAAGAAAAAAAAGAAAAAAAAAAAAAAACCAUCAAGAUCCCUGAACCUAAUAGUAAAAAUCCUCCUUCACAUGUCUUAGCGUCAUCAGAUAAUGUGGGAGGAACGGUAGGUAUGAGCACCUGACAAAUACAGGUGUGUUUGUUCUUCUUUAUCGGAGGAGUUCUCUGAACAGAGCUCCUGGAUGAUGGACAGAGAAGACCGGACCGACCAGACCAGAAGGAUGGAUGACCAGGAACCAACUGGAGAGAGGAGGAGUGUUUUCAGUCAGCUGACUAAGUCAGCGCUCCACUUCAGACGCCCCUGCCUCCAACAGCACCCUCUCCAGCCACUGAGGGGCGUCC